This 4460-nucleotide long non-coding RNA is filed under the name Equus caballus (horse). RNAcentral describes it as "lncRNA (ENSECAG00000044021.1)". Lineage: Eukaryota; Metazoa; Chordata; Mammalia; Perissodactyla; Equidae. The record is from RNAcentral.
GUAGUUUGCAUCCACACCAUUAAACUCCGAGAGCCAGCUCCUCUCUGCACAGACACAGAGGCACACGGGUGAUCACUGGAAGUUACAAUACCAAGGAAGAGCUUGGGGAUCACCCAGUGCGAAACCAUCAUUUUAAAGACAGCCUUGCCAAGGCCGUUCAGACACACCUCAGUGCAAUCCCUGCUGGCCAGCACCCUGUCAUCAUGCAGCCUCCACCUUGCCCAGCAACUGGGGAAUGCUCACUCACGCCAUGCUCUUCUGGGAGAUUUGAUGUGGACCAUAGCCAAAUCUGCACCUCUAAUUGGGCCUUAUAUUUUUACCUUUACUUGUAUUGCCUGUGUCUUUUACACUGCAGCAGUCCAGCUGAAUCCCUGGCACCCAGAACACUGGAAAGUGCUAAGUAAAUAUCUUGUCGAGUGACUCACCCCAGCAUUAUGAGGUAGGUACUGCCAUCCCUACGUUGCACGUGAGGAGACAAGCUUACCAAGGUUAAGUCAACUGCCAGUCGCCUUAGCUAGUAAACUGCCAUUAGGUAUCUUGACUGGGAUGUCCCCAAGGCCCCAUGCACCCACCCUCCCCACUCCGCCUCCACUGCCCCUCCACCAGUCUCCUUCCUGUACUCCCCACGCUGGCCCUGCUCCUGCCCUGGCCCUGCUGAACUGCCCAGGUUCAGCCCCCGACUCUGGCUCCCCAGCACUUCCUGCCACGCCCUUCCCUACAAGCUUCUCCUCUUUUGAGCUUUUCCCUACAAUGCACCCAGGCUAAGCCCUCCCAAGCCAAAUCUGAAUGAGCUCUCCUGCAAGUAAAGCCUUGCCAUGGCUCCCCACACCCUUGAGAAUAAAACUCAAGCUCUACCUCCCACUUCACACGCCAGCACCUGGCUCGAUGAGAUCCUCUCCACUCCAGUGUCUGCUUCUAACUCUCCAAACACAUCACAAACGGCCUGGCCUUCCUGCUCACACACUUUCUGUGCCUCAGAUGCUCAUAUUGCCUGGCAAUUCCAGUUUCCCUGACGCUCAGGCCUCCCUCCUUCGGGAAGCCCUCCCUGCCCCAACCCCACCUCAGGCUCAGGCAGGGACACGUGAUGCUCGUCACCACAUGUACAGAGAUAUAAUCACCUAGUUACGCAUCCACCUCCUGGAUUCAACAACAAACGCCUUAAGGGCAGAGACUAGGUCUUUUUUAUCUCGGAUGCUGAGCACCUGGCACAAGGUCUGCACUUCACAGAAACUCAAAUGUCUUAAUGACUCAGUCCCCCUGGUUCUCCAGAACUAGGAGUCAUCUUAGAUUCAGCUGUGAUGGGUAGCCAGUGACGCCUGUUGAUUAUCUCCAAAAUCUCUCUGAAAUCCUGCUUAAAUCCUGCUUCCAUCUCCAUCCCCACUGCACUCCCCGGGCUGAAAUUAACUUCCUUCCUCCAACAUCCCCUUUGUACAAAUACAAUUCCUAUCUGGUUCCUGCCAGAGUCGCUUUACUGAAACACACAUCUGUUGUUAGUUCCAUGCCUGAGGACCCUCUGCAGCUUUUCACCACUUGCAGGGGCACUGGGGGUCCUCCACACUCUUUCCCCCUGUCCCCCUCCAAGCCCACCUACUGUCUACCCACAGGCCCAACACUGGUCUGGCAGCCAUUCUCAGAACUCUCCAGACACAUCGAUGGCCCGUGCAGGCUUUCAGGCAUCCCUUUUGCCAGGAGCGGCCCACUGCCACCUCAUCUUCAAGGCCCAGUUUAGAGGUCAUCUCCUGGGUGGAACCUGCGCGGACUCCCCCUCCUGCCACGCAGAACUCACGCCUGGCCUCCACUCUGUCCUCUACCGCACUUUCAACGCUACCCCUUUCACUGCAAGGUCUGGUCCCUCACUGGGCCCCCCGCAGGUGAGCCAGGCCAGGCCCAGGCCGUGGCACCCGCUGCAAGCACGCGCGUGAGUCAGCCACAGGCCAGGCUGUUUCCUUCGAUUUAACAAGUGCAGUGUUGAACAGCGGCGCACCCUGCCCGCUGUAACAAUGGGAAUAAAGAGCUCAGGAAUAAGACGUGCCUGGCUCAAAGCCAGGGGGUGGGCAGGGCUGGGACCCGGACCAUCGGACUAGAAGUCUUAUUCACCAACAGUUAAACAAAACCCCGCACAGCCGGCGACGGCAGGCCUAAGAAACCACGGGGGGCUCCGGGGCCGGCGCCGGCAGUUCCGCACCGCCGCCACCGCGCUCCUGCGGACCGAGCUCCUUCUAUCUGCAACUCCCCGCCGCGGAGCCGAGCGUUCCGUUCCCUGCACACACUCUGCUUCCCGCAGCCGAAGUGGGAACUUGCGGGGACGCUGAUGCUUACGGCGCCCGCCAGCGAGAAGCAGACUGGGCCGACCGCACCGCUCUCCUGAGCCGGGCACGCCUCCAGCCUCGGCGCCCCGGUGCGCAUGCGCCCCCGGCCGCCGCCCGCCCCCGGCUCGCGUGCACACGCCGCGCCGCGCCCGCCGUGCGCACGCGCAUGCGCAGCCCGCCCUGGCACGCGCCUCGGUCCCUGGGGCGGCGGCGCGGCCCGGGUGGGGCGCGUGGGCCCGGCUCCCUCUGCCGGCCUGCGCGCCGGCCUCCCGAGCGCCCACGCUGGGUGCCCCGGACCGGCCGGGGGUGAGCGGGCGCCGGGGCUCCGGGUCGUGGGCCCGCGCCUCCCUCCCGGCCACGGGCGGACCCUGUUCGUCUUGAGUGGCGGCCGAGCGCACGGCUCUGCGGGCCGCGUCUCCCCGGCCUGUCCUCCGCGGCAGGCGGCCCCGAGGGCGGAGGCGGUCCACCUCUUCUGGGCCUCAGUGCCGCAGCCGGAAGGCGGGCAGUGAUCGUGAUCGUGCCUCCCGGGGCGGGCUGCACGUGAGGUCACAUGAGUUAGCAACAGGUAAAGAACUCAUUCAACCGUGUAAUAAAACUGCAAACAACAGAAGCUUCCCAGAAGGAGAUACACAGAUGGCAAAUAAGUACAAGAAGGAUGCUCGACCAUCAUCUUCAUGAGGGAAACACAAAGCCACAGUGAGACACGGCCACACCAUUGUCCGUCCACUCGAGUGGCCAAAGAAGGCUGACAUCGGCAAGCACCAAGGUUGCAGAGCUGCUGAAAUUCUCAUCCGUUGCAGACAAGAGGGCAAAAUGGUACAACCAAUUUGGAAGCAUUUUGGUGGUUUCUUCUAAAGUUGCCAUACACUUACCCUUCAACCCAGUACUCCCACUCCUAGGUACUUACCCAACAGGGACGAAAACGUGUCCGCACCAGACUUGUACUAAGUUCUCACAUUUUUAAUUGGAUCUCCAGUUAUCACGAUACGAAGGUUGUAGUUGGUCACGCUGAUUCAAGCACUUGUUGCCAUUCAUUUUAUUGUGACUCCUGAGGACAUGUUGAUAAUUUUCUAUUGGUUUCACUCAUAUCUCAUGCAGUUAUAAAAACAGUCUAUAUACUGGAGGUUUGUGGGUACUCAUUUUCAUUCUUUGGCUCAGCAAAGACUAGGGUUAAGUGUCUGGCCCUUUGCUGGUCCCUGUGUCUACAGAGAUGACCAGUCACGUCCUUGUGGACUAGUGGAGGGCAGAGUAGCAACUGGCCACAAGCCCUGACUUGAGCGACUGCCCGGUAAGAUCCUGAUUCUGAUCCUGACUCUGCCACUCCCUAGCCCUGUGACAAGUCAGUGUCAUCCUCUAGACAGUGGGUGUUCUGGUGGCUGAGCUCGAAGAUUAGAAUCUGUGAUAUUAUGAGUUAUGAUAAGAAAUUCAGUCACCUGUGCUCAACAAUGGGGAUAUAUUCUCAGAAAGCUGCGUCAUCAGGCGAUUUCCUUGUUGUGUGAACUUCGUAGAGUGUACUUACGAACCUAGCUGGUAGCCGGCUGCACACCGAGGCUCUGUGGUUAGCCUGGUGCUCCUCGGCUGCAAAGCUGUGCAGCAUGUCACUGUCCUGAGUACUGGAGGCAACUGUGACACAACAGUAUUUGUAUAUUUAGACAUAUCAAAACAGAAAUAGCACAGUAAAAAUAUGGUAUAAAAGAUAAAAAAUGGCACAUCUGUAUGGGGCGCUUACCGUAAAUGGAGCUUGCAGGUCUGGAAGCUGCUCUGGGUGAGUGAGUGGGUGAUGAGUGAGCAAAGGCCUCGGAUGUUCCUGGACACUGCCGCAGACGUUAUAAACUGUACACUUAGGCUACACUAAAUUUAUAAAAAAAGAUUUUUCUUUCUUUAAUAAUAAACUAACCUUAGCUUACUGUACCUUUUUUAUUUUAUAUACUUUAAUUUUUUUAACUUUUUGACUCUUUUGUGAUAAGACAGCUUAAAAUGCAAACACAUUGUACAGCUGUACAAAACUUUUCUUUGUAUCCUUAUUCUAUAAGCUUUUUAAAUUUUUUUAUUUUAUUCUUUUACUUCUUAAACUUUUUUUUUAAAAAGUAAGACUAAUGCACACAUUAGCGUAGACCUGCACAGGGUCAGGAUCCUCAGUAUCACUGUCUU